This 406-nucleotide ribosomal RNA is filed under the name uncultured bacterium. RNAcentral describes it as "partial 16S ribosomal RNA". It matches the Rfam family "Bacterial small subunit ribosomal RNA", at positions 29 to 526 of the family's 1533-position model. The record is from RNAcentral.
AUUGAACGCUGGCGGCAGGCCUAACACAUGCAAGUCGAACGAGUGGCGGACGGGUGGGUAAGUGCUGAGCAACUGGCUGAUGGAUGGAGAUGACUACUGGAAACGGUAGAUACUAACGCAUACCAGCGGAUGUGCAGUGAUGGGAUUAGCUAGUAGGGGGGGUAAAGGCACACAUAGACGACGAUCCCGAGCUGGUCUGAGAGGAUGACCAGCCACACUGGAACUGAGACACGGUCCAGACUCCUACGGGAGGCAGCAUUGGGGAAGCUUGCACAAUGGGCGCAAGCCUGAUGCAGCCAUGCCGCGUGUAUGAAGAAGGCCUUCGGGUUGUAAAGUACUUUCAGCGGGGAGGCGUUACCCGCAGAAGAAGCACCGGCUAACUCCGUGCCAGCAGCCGCGGUAAUAC